CAGUCGCCACGGGAAUACGUAGGUGGCAAGCGUUGUCCGGAAUUAUUGGGCGUAAAGGGCUCGCAGGCGGUUUCUUAAGUCUGAUGUGAAAGCCCCCGGCUCAACCGGGGAGGGUCAUUGGAAACUGGGAGGCUUGAGUAUAGGAGAGAAGAGUGGAAUUCCACGUGUAGCGGUGAAAUGCGUAGAGAUGUGGAGGAACACCAGUGGCGAAGGCGACUCUUUGGCCUAUAACUGACGCUGAGGCGCGAAAGCGUGGGGAGCGAACAGGAUUAGAUACCCCUGUAGUCCCUGUCUCUUAUAC
RNAcentral lists this ribosomal RNA (301 nucleotides) under uncultured bacterium. RNAcentral's name for it is "partial 16S ribosomal RNA". It matches the Rfam family "Bacterial small subunit ribosomal RNA", at positions 509 to 807 of the family's 1533-position model. The record is from RNAcentral.